RNAcentral lists this ribosomal RNA (504 nucleotides) under uncultured Glomeromycotina. RNAcentral's name for it is "SSU rRNA". It matches the Rfam family "Eukaryotic small subunit ribosomal RNA", at positions 569 to 1077 of the family's 1831-position model. Lineage: Eukaryota; Fungi; Glomeromycota. The record is from RNAcentral.
AGCAGCCGCGGUAAUUCCAGCUCCAAUAGCGUAUAUUAAAGUUGUUGCAGUUAAAAAGCUCGUAGUUGAAUUUCAGGCCUGGCUGGACGGUCCGCCCUUCGGGUGAGUACUGUCUGUGGUCGGGUCCUACCUUCUGGCGAAGCGUCAUGGCCUUAACCGGCCGUGGCGGGGAACCAGGACUUUUACUGUGAAAAAAUUAGAGUGUUCAAAGCAGGCAAUCGCUUGGAUACAUUAGCAUGGAAUAAUGGAAUAGGACAAUGGUUCUAUUUGUUGGUUUCUAGGACCGUUGUAAUGAUUAAUAGGGAUAGUUGGGGGCAUUAGUAUUCAAUUGUCGGAGGUGAAAUUCUUGGAUUUAUUGAAGACUAACUACUGCGAAAGCAUUUGCCAAGGAUGUUUUCAUUAAUCAAGAACGAAAGUUAGGGGAUCGAAGACGGUCAGAUACCGUCGUAGUCUUAACCAUAAACUAUGCCGACUAGGAAUCGGGCGAUGUUGACAAAAUGACGC